Molecule: unclassified non-coding RNA, 417 nt
Filed under: Sinosenecio subcoriaceus
Lineage: Eukaryota; Viridiplantae; Streptophyta; Magnoliopsida; Asterales; Asteraceae
Description: partial external transcribed spacer
Source: RNAcentral
AUGAGUGGUGAUUGGUUUGUUACGGGUGGUUGGCUCUUUGCUUGCGCAACAACUUCCACCUGGCAUACCUCCUCAGUUAUGCGUCAAGGCUUGUAUAGCCUUGAGCGUAUUGUGGGUUUUUUGUAUUGCAUACCUAAUUGACGGUAUUUUUUUGUUCGAUUGAAGUCCCUUUUCGUCUUGUGUUGCAUUUUGUGACGCAUGAUGAACCUUGAAGUGGUCUCUAUGAUCCAUCUCGUUGAUGCGCAUGCAUUGAUUGUGUGGCACAUUGAGCUUUGCUUGGUUUCUUGGAUACGGAACAUGAUGUGGGCAUGGGGUCUCUCCUGAUCCUUGUUUUGCCCUUGUUUGGUAUUCUCUAAAUGACAGUUCAUGCGCGCCUAGGCUCGUACCUGCGUGAUGUUCUAAGUCGAAGAGGAAUGC